AUACGGAGGGUGCAAGCGUUGUUCGGAAUCACUGGGCGUAAAGGGCGCGCAGGCGGUUUGGUAAGUCAGAUGUGAAAGCCCACGGCUCAACCGUGGAAGUGCAUUCGAAACUGCCAGACUUGAGUACCAGAGGGGAAAGUGGAAUUCCCGGUGUAGAGGUGAAAUUCGUAGAUAUCGGGAGGAAUACCGGUGGCGAAGGCGACUUUCUGGCUGGAUACUGACGCUGAGGCGCGAAAGCGUGGGGAGCAAACAGGAUUAGAAACCCCAGUAGUCC
RNAcentral lists this ribosomal RNA (274 nucleotides) under uncultured bacterium. Its description in RNAcentral is "partial 16S ribosomal RNA". It matches the Rfam family "Bacterial small subunit ribosomal RNA", at positions 523 to 796 of the family's 1533-position model. The record is from RNAcentral.